UUUCCGUAGGUGAACCUGCGGAAGGAUCAUUAAUGAAUAUUACGGUUCUCUUUUCAUCAAAGAGGACUGACCUUCAGUCUUCUACCCUGUGCACUAGUAUAAUAUUUGACAGUUGUUAAUUUGGCUAGUAAAAGGGCCUUACGACUCUGCUGAAUUCACUCUUAAACUAUACAGUAUAAGAAUGCUAUAAACACAAAAAAAGAAAACCUUCAACAUCGGAUCGCUUGGCUCUCACAUCGAUGUAGAAAC
RNAcentral lists this unclassified non-coding RNA (249 nucleotides) under plant metagenome. RNAcentral's name for it is "partial contains small subunit ribosomal RNA, internal transcribed spacer 1, and 5.8S ribosomal RNA". The record is from RNAcentral.